Pangasius djambal is the source of this 70-nucleotide non-coding RNA. NCBI's taxonomy places the organism in Eukaryota, Metazoa, Chordata, Actinopteri, Siluriformes, Pangasiidae. The record is from the annotation of a GenBank genome assembly.
GCAGUGGUGGCUCAAAGGUUAAGGCUCCAGGUUACUGAUCAGAAGGUUUGGUUCAAGCCCUAGCACUGCC